This 2204-nucleotide long non-coding RNA is filed under the name Homo sapiens (human). RNAcentral describes it as "HSALNT0329830". Lineage: Eukaryota; Metazoa; Chordata; Mammalia; Primates; Hominidae. The record is from RNAcentral.
UCUCGGUGUUCUGAGGGGUAUUGAGAGGUCAGGUCCACAUCACCCAGUGACACUUCUCCAUCCAGGGUGAUGCAGGGCUCAGAUCAUGAUGAAAUCACUCUACAGAACAAACGUCACAGCCGCCCAGCUGCCACUUGUCCCCAACUCCACACCCACUAAGUUACCAUAGAACUGGGGUAAACAGAGAGAAUUUAAUAUGCUAAUAGCUCUGAUCUAAUAGCUGACAUAACACCAAUUAAAUUUUUAAUGACACUGGAGUAAUAAAAGAGCCCUUGGCAUACUUCUCUUUGCAAACAUGACUCAAAGGGUGGUUUUCCUUUUGCCCUUGCUUCAAUUUCCAGAUGCCAGGCCACUUAGAAGCCACUUAUCUCUUUACUCAGAGCUGGUAUUCGGGGGUUAUCAUUUUAUAAGAAAAGGACCACAAAUUUUAGAAUGCCUACCUACUCAGAGUAUCCAACUACAGCAUAAGGAAUCCCCAUUUCUUUCCGAGUAAAAGUGAAUGGUAAAGGGUUUGGAGUCUAGAAUCUGGAAUCCCAGGUUACCACUCUGAUGUCCCUCUCUUUCCCUGACUGAUUCUGGUUCUGGCUCCAUGAAGAACACGUGACCUCCAUUUCUAAAUCAUGGGCAGAAGCCACCAAGUUCAUGAGAUGGCUUCACACAGAAUCCAUGGCUAUUAGAAAAUAAGAGCAGCAGAUCAAACUGACCUGCUGGCACUCGACUGUUGAGUCCACUGACCAGCCCUACCAAUGGCAAUGUUUGUGCUUCAUAUGGAAUGAAAAAAACAAGUUGUUGAAAGAUAUAAACAACACGGUGUUACCUAUUGAAUACAGGAUGUAUAUCAAACACGGAAUGAAAAGAUACGGACCAAAUCCUUGAUAGCUGUUGCUUCUGGUGAAUGGGAAUGAGACUGGGGAAGGUGUGGGAGGGAACACAGAUGACCUCAAUUUCAUUAGCAUCAUUUGUGUAAAAAAAAAAACCAAAAAGGUAAAUAUUACAAAAUGCUAACAUUUGUUAAUUCUGAAUGAUAAAUGCACAGGUGUUUGUUAAAUUAGCUUUCAUACAUUAUUUUCCAAAUUAAAAAAAAAACACCUUUUAUCUUAUAAGUACUUGCUGGCAAUAUGCUCAAUCAGUAAACAGCUGAUAAGCAUCCACCAGAGGCAAAUAAUAAAAUCCCGCAUUAAGUAUUUACUGUGUCAGGCACAGUGCUAAGUGAUCUGUAUUAUGUUACAAGGCAGGUACUUUUCAUAAGGGAUAAAUGUUUAUCCUCACCUCCAGCUUUAAUUAGUUAUAGUCCCGGCCUCCUCCAUCUAGUCCAGGGAAGACUGGUGGCUUUUCUGAUGGGCUUGUUUGGAAGAACAAAGGGGCUCGGCCCCUUCUGCUCUGCCAGAAGCUGCUUGCUUGCAGAAGGCUCUUGUAAGUUUAACAGACAGACUCUGCCUGCCUCUGCAGAGAAAGACCUGUGGUUGUCCCACACUUAUAGAGAUUUGCAGGGUAAGUUCAUCUAUCUGUAUGCCUAAAUCUGGAUCAAUAUUAAAAACCCAUGACUGCUGCAUACCAAAGCCACAUCCUUCAACCUAAUCUUUACUAAUAUUAAAGGUAAAAUAUAUAAAAAGAUGGAAUUUUUAUAUCCAUCUGUCUUUCAAUUGGUUCCACUCUUGGGCCAGAAAUAAAAGUUACUUAUUGUCUCCCUUCAUCCUAACACUUGCUUUUGCCAUUUUACGGACGAGUGUAUUUAGGCUUAAAAACACCGUAUCAGUCUAUUUUUGCAUUACUAUAAAGGAAUACCUGACACUGGGUAAUUUAUAAAGAAAAGAAGUUUAAUUGGCUCACGGUUCCACAGGCUGUACAGGCAUAGCACCAACAUCUGCUCAGUGUCUGGUGAGGACCUCAGGAGGCUUACAAUCAUGGUAGAAGGAGCCGGGCGUGGUGGCUCAUGCCUGUAAUCCCAGCACUUUGGGAGGCUGAGGUGGGCAGAUCACGAGGUCAGGAGAUCGAGACCAUCCUGACUAACACAGUGAAACCCCGUCUCUACUAAAAAUACAAAAAAUUAGCCCGGUGUGGUGGCGGGCGCCUGUAGUCCCAGCUACUCAGGAGGCUGAAGCAGGAGAAUGGCGUGAACCCGGGAGGUGGAGCUUGCAGUGAGCCAAGAUUGCGCCACUGCACUCCAGCCUGGGUGACAGAGCAAGACUCCGUCUCAAAAAAAA